ACAAAGCAAUUCCUCGUUUCCUUAAUAUUAACUAGACAUGAAAGAGGGAGAGAAGAAAGAAGAGGAAGAAGAAGAGGAGGAGGAAGAGGAGGAAGAUGAAGAGAAAUAUGAAUGAGAAAGGAAAAGAAAAACACACAAAGCAAUUCCUCGUUUCCUUAAUAUUAACUAGACAUGAAAGAGAAGAGGGAGAGAAGAAAGAGGAGGAAGAGGAAGAAGAAGAGGAAGAAGAGGAGGAAGAUGAAGAGAAAGAUGAAUGAGAAAAAGGAAAAGAAAAACACACAAAACAAUUCCUCGUUUCCUUAAUAUUAACUAGACAUGAAAGAGGGAGAGAAGAAAGAAGAGGAAGAAGAAGAGGAGGAGGAAGAGGAGGAAGAUGAAGAGAAAGAUGAAUGAGAAAAAGGAAAAGAAAAACACACAAAGCAAUUCCUCGUUUCCUUAAUAUUAACUAGACAUGAAAGAGAAGAGGAAGAGAAGAAGAGGAGGAAGAGGAAGAAGAAGAGGAAGAAGAGGAGGAAGAUGAAGAGAAAGAUGAAUGAGAAAAAAAAAGAAAAACACACAAAACAAUUCCUCGUUUCCUUAAUAUUAACUAGACAUGAAAGAGAA
Molecule: long non-coding RNA, 603 nt
Organism: Eriocheir sinensis (Chinese mitten crab)
Lineage: Eukaryota; Metazoa; Arthropoda; Malacostraca; Decapoda; Varunidae
Exons: 2
Source: RefSeq, a predicted model, not a curated record